This 481-nucleotide ribosomal RNA is filed under the name uncultured bacterium. Its description in RNAcentral is "bacterial SSU rRNA". It matches the Rfam family "Bacterial small subunit ribosomal RNA", at positions 30 to 510 of the family's 1533-position model. The record is from RNAcentral.
UGAACGCUGGCGGCAUGCCUUACACAUGCAAGUCGAACGGCAGCACGGGUGCUUGCACCUGGUGGCGAGUGGCGAACGGGUGAGUAAUAUAUCGGAACGUGCCCAGUCGUGGGGGAUAACGUAGCGAAAGUUACGCUAAUACCGCAUACGAUCUACGGAUGAAAGCGGGGGAUCGCAAGACCUCGCGCGAUUGGAGCGGCCGAUAUCAGAUUAGGUAGUUGGUGAGGUAAAGGCUCACCAAGCCAACGAUCUGUAGCUGGUCUGAGAGGACGACCAGCCACACUGGGACUGAGACACGGCCCAGACUCCUACGGGAGGCAGCAGUGGGGAAUUUUGGACAAUGGGCGCAAGCCUGAUCCAGCCAUUCCGCGUGCAGGACGAAGGCCUCGGUUGUAACUGCUUUGUACGACGAAAGACCUUGGCUAAUACCCAGGUCCGAUGACGGUACCGUAACGAAUAAGCACCGGCUAACUACGUGCCA